AAACGCUUGAAGUCAGUCGCAUCCUUCAGAAAUCAACCUGGCCGUCAGGUCUGGUGCACUUUCUGUUUGGAUGGGUCAGCAUCAAUUUUGAUCGUUGGAUAAAGGCCUUGGGAAUGUAGCUUCUUUCGGGGAGUGUUAUAGCCCUCGGUGCAAUGCCGCCUACCUAGACCGAGGACCGCGCUUCGGCUAGGAUGCUGGCGUAAUGGUUGUAAGCGA
RNAcentral lists this ribosomal RNA (216 nucleotides) under Hyaloscyphaceae sp. RNAcentral's name for it is "partial large subunit ribosomal RNA". Lineage: Eukaryota; Fungi; Ascomycota; Leotiomycetes; Helotiales; Hyaloscyphaceae. The record is from RNAcentral.